Molecule: long non-coding RNA, 362 nt
Organism: Megalopta genalis
Lineage: Eukaryota; Metazoa; Arthropoda; Insecta; Hymenoptera; Halictidae
Source: RefSeq, a predicted model, not a curated record
GGCAAGAUUAGUUAACAGUCAUUACAUACGGUUGUUUACAUCGUACCGUCAAUCAAUCAGCACGCAUGAAACUAAUUUUGCGUCCGUGACACAUACUGUUCAGAAGAAUUGUUCAGGAGAAUUAACAGUGUUGAUAUCGUAUACAAAAACAAAUAACAACAUUGCGAAACGUAAUUAAGGGAUUAGACUCCCUAAGCAAGGAAAUGAAGCGAUGGAUCAAAGAUGAAGCAAUGAUGAAGCAAUGGUGUCGUGUACUAAUGCAGAAGAAGUAUAAGAAACAAUUAAAAUCCUACAAAUUAAUCAUCAAUGAACGUAGCAUAAUAACAUCAUCAAUGAUCAGAAAAUAUCAAUAUCAAAAAGGA